CGGCGUAGUGUGCCUUCGAGCAAAUAUUUGUCUGCAAAAGCAUAAUUUACUUUGCCAAAUUCCGAAGCCAAUGCCCAGUUAGAUGCACCUCCAUUGUUGGUUUGUAUCCCUGUGCCUCCGCUCAGAUACCGGUUUUCUAAAUCAUCAGAAGCAAAGUUAGUCCGGGAGGCAUCGAAUGAUUCAAAAUAGUCUUUAAUGGAUUCGGUUCCAAUUAAGAAAUUCAGCCGGUGGGCAUCUCCAAGGGUAAGAUUAUAGGUUAAUGUAUUAUACCAGGUCCAGGUCCACUCAUAGUUAUUACUGGUUUGUAAACUGUUAGAGCCUCUGGAUUCUGCAGAUUCUAUAUCCCGGAUUGUAUAGUUCCGGAAGUUGAACAAGUUAUAAUCAAUACCGAAACUGGUUUUGGCUGUCAGAUUUUUUAUUAUGUCUAUUUCGGCAUAGGCAU
This 442-nucleotide unclassified non-coding RNA is filed under the name plant metagenome. RNAcentral describes it as "partial contains 5.8S ribosomal RNA, internal transcribed spacer 2, and large subunit ribosomal RNA". The record is from RNAcentral.